Molecule: ribosomal RNA, 1025 nt
Filed under: Leuconostoc mesenteroides
Lineage: Bacteria; Bacillati; Bacillota; Bacilli; Lactobacillales; Lactobacillaceae
Description: bacterial SSU rRNA
Rfam family: Bacterial small subunit ribosomal RNA
Source: RNAcentral
CGGAAGGUGCUUGCACCUUUAAGUGAGUGGCGAACGGGUGAGUAACACGUGGACAACCUGCCUCAAGGCUGGGGAUAACAUUUGGAAACAGAUGCUAAUACCGAAUAAAACUUAGUGUCGCAUGACACAAAGUUAAAAGGCGCUUCGGCGUCACCUAGAGAUGGAUCCGCGGUGCAUUAGUUAGUUGGUGGGGUAAAGGCCUACCAAGACAAUGAUGCAUAGCCGAGUUGAGAGACUGAUCGGCCACAUUGGGACUGAGACACGGCCCAAACUCCUACGGGAGGCUGCAGUAGGGAAUCUUCCACAAUGGGCGAAAGCCUGAUGGAGCAACGCCGCGUGUGUGAUGAAGGCUUUCGGGUCGUAAAGCACUGUUGUAUGGGAAGAACAGCUAGAAUAGGAAAUGAUUUUAGUUUGACGGUACCAUACCAGAAAGGGACGGCUAAAUACGUGCCAGCAGCCGCGGUAAUACGUAUGUCCCGAGCGUUAUCCGGAUUUAUUGGGCGUAAAGCGAGCGCAGACGGUUUAUUAAGUCUGAUGUGAAAGCCCGGAGCUCAACUCCGGAAUGGCAUUGGAAACUGGUUAACUUGAGUGCAGUAGAGGUAAGUGGAACUCCAUGUGUAGCGGUGGAAUGCGUAGAUAUAUGGAAGAACACCAGUGGCGAAGGCGGCUUACUGGACUGCAACUGACGUUGAGGCUCGAAAGUGUGGGUAGCAAACAGGAUUAGAUACCCUGGUAGUCCACACCGUAAACGAUGAACACUAGGUGUUAGGAGGUUUCCGCCUCUUAGUGCCGAAGCUAACGCAUUAAGUGUUCCGCCUGGGGAGUACGACCGCAAGGUUGAAACUCAAAGGAAUUGACGGGGACCCGCACAAGCGGUGGAGCAUGUGGUUUAAUUCGAAGCAACGCGAAGAACCUUACCAGGUCUUGACAUCCUUUGAAGCUUUUAGAGAUAGAAGUGUUCUCUUCGGAGACAAAGUGACAGGUGGUGCAUGGGUCGUCGUCAGCUCGUGUCGUGAGAUGUUGGG